UACGAAGGGGGGCUAGCGUUGUUCGGAUUUACUGGGCGUAAAGCGCACGUAGGCGGUUCGUUAAGUCGGAUGUGAAAGCCCUCGGCUCAACUGAGGAAGUGCACCCGAAACUGGCGAGCUUGAGUACGAAAGAGGAUCGCGGAAUUCCCGGUGUAGAGGUGAAAUUCGUAGAUAUCGGGAGGAACACCGGUGGCGAAGGCGGCGAUCUGGGUCGAUACUGACGCUGAGGUGCGAAAGCGUGGGGAGCAAACAGG
RNAcentral lists this ribosomal RNA (254 nucleotides) under uncultured bacterium. RNAcentral's name for it is "partial 16S ribosomal RNA". It matches the Rfam family "Bacterial small subunit ribosomal RNA", at positions 524 to 776 of the family's 1533-position model. The record is from RNAcentral.